RNAcentral lists this ribosomal RNA (323 nucleotides) under uncultured bacterium. RNAcentral's name for it is "bacterial SSU rRNA". It matches the Rfam family "Bacterial small subunit ribosomal RNA", at positions 30 to 334 of the family's 1533-position model. The record is from RNAcentral.
AUUGAACGCUGGCGGCAUGCCUAACACAUGCAAGUCGAACGGUAACAGGACGCUGGGAUCCCUUCGGGGUGAACUUGUCGCUGACGAGUGGCGGACGGGUGAGUAAUGCUUGGGAAUCUGCCCAGUAGUGGGGGACAACACGAGGAAACUCGUGCUAAUACCGCAUACGUCCUACGGGAGAAAGUGGGGGAUCUUCGGACCUCACGCUACUGGAUAAGCCCAAGUCGGAUUAGCUUGUUGGUGGGGUAAAGGCCUACCAAGGCGACGAUCCGUAGCUGGUCUGAGAGGACGAUCAGCCACACUGGGACUGAGACACGGCCCAG